This 468-nucleotide ribosomal RNA is filed under the name uncultured bacterium. RNAcentral's name for it is "partial 16S ribosomal RNA". It matches the Rfam family "Bacterial small subunit ribosomal RNA", at positions 28 to 507 of the family's 1533-position model. The record is from RNAcentral.
GACGAACGCUGGCGGCGUGCUUAACACAUGCAAGUCGAACGGAAAGGCCCUGCUUUUGUGGGGUGCUCGAGUGGCGAACGGGUGAGUAACACGUGAGUAACCUGCCCUUGACUUUGGGAUAACUUCGGGAAACUGGGGCUAAUACCGGAUAGGAGCUCCUGCUGCAUGGUGGGGGUUGGAAAGUUUCGGCGGUUGGGGAUGGACUCGCGGCUUAUCAGCUAGUUGGUGGGGUAGUGGCUUACCAAGGCUUUGACGGGUAGCCGGCCUGAGAGGGUGACCGGCCACAUUGGGACUGAGAUACGGCCCAGACUCCUACGGGAGGCAGCAGUGGGGAAUAUUGCACAAUGGGCGGAAGCCUGAUGCAGCAACGCCGCGUGCGGGAUGACGGCCUUCGGGUUGUAAACCGCUUUCGCCUGUGACGAAGCGUGAGUGACGGUAAUGGGUAAAGAAGCACCGGCUAACUACGUG